RNAcentral lists this ribosomal RNA (301 nucleotides) under uncultured bacterium. RNAcentral's name for it is "partial 16S ribosomal RNA". It matches the Rfam family "Bacterial small subunit ribosomal RNA", at positions 509 to 807 of the family's 1533-position model. The record is from RNAcentral.
CAGUAGCCGCGGGAAAACGAGGGGUGCAAGCGUUAUUCGGAUUGAUUGGGUGUAAAGGGUGUGCAGACGGCUUAUUAAGUCACUUGUUAAAUUCUUCGGCCUAACUGAAGGUCUGCAAGUGAUACUGAUGAGCUAGAGGGUGGAAGAGAGAAGUGGAAUUCUCGGAGUAGCGGUAAAAUGCGUAGAUCUCGAGAGGAACACCAAUGGCGAAGGCAGCUUCUUGGUCCAUUCCUGACGUUCAUACACGAAAGCGUGGGGAGCGAACAGGAUUAGAUACCCCUGUAGUCCCUGUCUCUUAUAC